RNAcentral lists this transfer RNA (87 nucleotides) under Candidatus Liptonbacteria bacterium. Its description in RNAcentral is "tRNA-Leu". It matches the Rfam family "tRNA". From Rfam's summary of the family: Transfer RNA (tRNA) molecules are approximately 80 nucleotides in length. Their secondary structure includes four short double-helical elements and three loops (D, anti-codon, and T loops). Lineage: Bacteria; Candidatus Liptoniibacteriota. The record is from RNAcentral.
GGGCGAGUGGCGAAAUUGGUAGUACGCAGGAGACUUAAAAUCUCCAGGCCGUAAAAGGCCGUGCGGGUUCGACUCCCGCCUCGCCCA